AUUGAACGCUGGCGGAAUGCUUUACACAUGCAAGUCGAACGGCAGCACGGGGGCAACCCUGGUGGCGAGUGGCGAACGGGUGAGUAAUACAUCGGAACGUGCCCAGUCGGGGGGGAUAACGUAGCGAAAGUUACGCUAAUACCGCAUACGAUCUACGGAUGAAAGCGGGGGACCGUAAGGCCUCGCGCGAUUGGAGCGGCCGAUGUCAGAGUAGGUAGUUGGGGAGGUAAAGGCUCACCAAGCCGACGAUCUGUAGCUGGUCUGAGAGGACGGCAAGCCCAACUGUGACUGAGACACGGCCCAGACUCCUGCGGGAGGCAGCAGAGGGGAAUUGUGUGCAAUGGGCGCAAGCCUGAUCCAGCCAUUCCGGGUGCAGGGCGAAAGCCUUCGGGUUGAAACCUGCUUUUGUACGGAACAAAAAGGCUCUGGUUAAUACCUGGGGCUCAUGACGGUACCGUAAGAAUAAGCACCGGCUAGCUACGUGCCAGCCGCCGCCGUAA
This 500-nucleotide ribosomal RNA is filed under the name uncultured bacterium. RNAcentral describes it as "partial 16S ribosomal RNA". It matches the Rfam family "Bacterial small subunit ribosomal RNA", at positions 29 to 523 of the family's 1533-position model. The record is from RNAcentral.